GGGGAUUUAGCUCAGUGAUAGAGCGUUUGCCUAGGAAGCGCAAGGCCCUGGGUUCGGUCCCCAGCUCCG
RNAcentral lists this transfer RNA (69 nucleotides) under Rattus norvegicus (Norway rat). It matches the Rfam family "tRNA". Rfam says of the family: Transfer RNA (tRNA) molecules are approximately 80 nucleotides in length. Their secondary structure includes four short double-helical elements and three loops (D, anti-codon, and T loops). Lineage: Eukaryota; Metazoa; Chordata; Mammalia; Rodentia; Muridae. The record is from Rfam by way of RNAcentral.